Long non-coding RNA from Homo sapiens (human), 2136 nucleotides. RefSeq lists it as uncharacterized. The record is from RefSeq and is a predicted model, not a curated record. NCBI's taxonomy places the organism in Eukaryota, Metazoa, Chordata, Mammalia, Primates, Hominidae. The transcript is spliced from 6 exons.
GGUUUUUUUUUUUGAGAUGGAGUCCGCUCUGUCACCAGGCUGGAGUGCAGUGGUGUAACCUUGGCUCACUGCAACUUCCACCUUCUGGGUUCAAGGGAUUCUCCUGCCUCAGCCUCCCGAGUAGCUGGGACUACAGGUGCCCACCACCACUCCCGGCUAAUUUUUGUAUUUUUAGGACAGAUGGAGUUUCACCAUGUUGGCCAGGGUGGUCUUGAUCUCUUGACCUAGUGAUCUACCCGCCUCAGCCUCCCAAAGUGCUGGGAUUUCAGGUGUGAGCCACCGCUCCCAGCCUGACAUUGUGGUUUUGAUUUGCAUUUCCCUGAUCUUUAGUGAUGAUGAGCAUUUUUUCAUGUUUGUUGGCCAUUUUUUAUAUCUCCUUUUGAGAACUGUCUAUUCAAGUCCUUAGCCCAUUAUUUGAAGGGAUUGGUUUUUUUCCUGUUAAUUUGAGUACCUUGUAGAUUCUGGUUAUUAGUCCUUUCUCAGACGUAUAGAUUGUGAAGAUUUUCUCCCAUUCCAUGGGUUGUCUGUUUACUCUGCUUAUUGUUUCUUUUGCUGUGCCAAAACGUUUUGGCUUGAUUAAGUCUAACCUUUUAAUCUUCAUUUUGUUGUUGUUGCACUUGCUUUUGGGUUCUUGGUCAUGAAGUCUCUGCCUAAGCCAAUGUGUAGAAGGGGUUUUCCAAUGUUACCUUCUAGAAUUUUUAUGGUUGCAGGUCUCAGAUUUAAGUUGACUUUUGUAUAAGGUAAGAGAUGGGAAUUCAGUUUCAUUUCUUGGGAUGUAGCUUGCCAAUUAUCCAAGCACCAUAUGUUGAGUAGGGUGUUCUUUCCCCACUUUAUAUUGUUUGCUUUGUCAAAGACCAGUUGGCUGUAAGUAUUUGAGUUUACUUCUGGGUUCUCUAUUAUGUUUCAUUGGUCUAUGUGCUUAUUUUUAUACCAGUAUUAUGCUGUUUUGCUGACUAUGGGUUUGUAGUAUAGAUUGAAGUCAGGUAAUGUAAUGCCUCCAGAUUUGUUCUUUCUGCUUAGUCUUGCUUUGGCUAUGUGGGCUCGUUUUUUUUUUCCCAUAUGAAUUUUAGAAUUAUCAGGAGCCACCAGGUGCUGCAGCAGCUUUGGGAUAACUUGAGGGCGCAUCCUGGGGAAGAAACACCUCCUGUCCAUGGUGCUAACUGCUGAGGACAGUGCUUCGGCGUGGCUUCUCCGUGGCCCAGCUUCUUUGGGGCGUUUUUCUUUCAUGGUUCAUCCAUAUGGCUCCAAAUGAAAAUUACAUUAAUUAUGGAUGAAGAGUAUUGUGUUGUGCAGAUAUACUGCAGUUUCUUCAUCCCUUCAUCUAUGGAUGGACAGGUUCCACAGUGUUGCCACGGAUGACCUGAUUUCAGUACCCGUGUCUGGCUGAAGAGUAUCUGGUUGUGACUGGAUACUGCAGUUUCUGGAUCUCAUCCUCUGUGGGUGGACAGGUUUCUCCAUCUUGCUGGUAGUGAACUGAUGUCCGGAAGUUUGAUGGCCGAAGAGUAUACCGUUGUGCAUAUAUCCUUCAAUUCCUGAUUUUAUCAUCUGUAGAAAGACAAAAAUCUUCAGACUGAUUUCCACAGUUUGAGAUCUAGUUUGCAUUACCUCCAAGAGAAUAGCCAUGUUUGCUUUUCUCUGCUGCCACACCAGCAUGUUAUGUUUUGACUUAGGACAAAUGGCCACUCUGACCAGCGUGUGAUGGCACCGGUACCUCAUCUCUGAUGAUUGGUGAUGUUGAGCAUUCCCCACGCCUGUUGGAAUGGCAAUCCCUUGGAAAUGUCUUCUCAAUAGUUACUACCCAUAGAGAACAGACCCUCCCAGUCUUCAGUGCACUCUAAAUACUUGCUAAUUCUGGCCAAUGGAAGGCAUCUGUGGAAGAAAAAAGCCUCAGAUCAUGUGCUAUCUGUCUUUAUUCAGUGUGACAUAUUAGGUAAUGGUCACAGACACUCACCAUGGCCCCAGUUUUUAAUAACAUGACCCUGCUUUUGUGUUCCAGUAACUUCUGUUGUUUUCCCAAUCCUAAGUAUGAUAGAAACUUCCUGCUGCUGCUAAUCUCUGGGUUCCAUUUAAAAUCCUUCCAUCACAUGAAUACUAUGCUGUGUUCUAAAUUUUUCCAUAAUUAAAUACUUACAAUUA